GUCGAGAAUAAUUCACAAUGGACGAAAGUCUGAUGGUGCAACGCCGCGUGGAGGAUGAAGGUCUUCGGAUUGUAAACUCCUGUCAUCGGGGAGUAAGACCUGGCGGUAAAUAGCCGACAGGGUUGAUAGUACCCGAAGAGGAAGGGACGGCUAACUUCGUGCCAGCAGCCGCGGUAAUACGAAGGUCCCAAGCGUUGUUCGGAAUCACUGGGCGUAAAGGGAGCGUAGGCGGCGUGGUAAGUCAGAUGUGAAAUCCCGGGGCUCAAACCCGGAACUGCAUCCGAUACUGCCAUGCUUGAGGGUUGGAGAGGUAGCUGGAAUUCUCGGUGUAGCAGUGAAAUGCGUGGAUAUCGAGAGGAACACUCGUGGCGAAGGCGAGCUACUGGACAACAUCUGACGCUGAGGCUCGAAGGCCAGGGGAGCAAAAGGGAUUAGAUACCCUUGUAGUCC
This 450-nucleotide ribosomal RNA is filed under the name uncultured bacterium. RNAcentral describes it as "bacterial SSU rRNA". It matches the Rfam family "Bacterial small subunit ribosomal RNA", at positions 354 to 796 of the family's 1533-position model. The record is from RNAcentral.